RNAcentral lists this ribosomal RNA (1572 nucleotides) under Escherichia coli. RNAcentral's name for it is "partial 23S ribosomal RNA". It matches the Rfam family "Bacterial large subunit ribosomal RNA", at positions 1362 to 2925 of the family's 2925-position model. The record is from RNAcentral. Lineage: Bacteria; Pseudomonadati; Pseudomonadota; Gammaproteobacteria; Enterobacterales; Enterobacteriaceae.
AGGCUCGUCCUCUCAGGGUAAGUCGGGACCUAAGCCCAGGCUGAAAAGCGUAAGCGAUGGACAACAGGUUGAGAUUCCUGUACUAUCUUCGAAUGUUUAAGAGAUGUACUGACGCAGGAGGAUAUGUUGAGCGUGUGAAUGGUAGAGCACGUCUAAGCAAGUAGGUAGAGAAUAGAGGCAAAUCCCUAUUUUUAAUAUCGAGAUGUGAUGGGGAGCGAAAAACAAGUAGUGAAGCAACAAAUUCCAAACUGCCAAGAAAAGGUACUAUUGAGUGAGAAGAUACCCGUACCAAAACCGACACAGGUAGGCAAGGAGAGAAUCCUAAGACGCGCGGAAGAACCUUUGUUAAGGAACUCGGCAAAAUGACCCCGUAACUUCGGGAGAAGGGGUACCAUUAGAUGUGAUAUACAUACGUAUGGAGCAUAGAGUGGUCGCAGAGAAUAGGCCCAAGCAACUGUUUACCAAAAACACAGGAGCGUGCGAAGGCGUAAGCCGCUGUAUACGCUCUGACGCCUGCCCGGUGCCGGAAGGUUAAGAGGAUCCGUUAACUUCGGUGAAGCGGUGAAUUUAAGCCCCGGUAAACGGCGGUGGUAACUAUAACCAUCCUAAGGUAGCGAAAUUCCUUGUCGGGUAAGUUCCGACCUGCACGAAUGGCGUAACGACUUCCCCACUGUCUCGGCCAGGAGCCCGGCGAAAUUGCAGUACGAGUAAAGAUGCUCGUUAAGCGCAGAAGGACGAAAAGACCCCGGGACCUUUACUAUACCUUGGUAUUGUCGUUAGGUGUGGAUCGUGUAGCAUAGGCGGGAGGCUGUGAAGCGUGGGCGCUAGCUUGCGUGGAGUCGACAGGUGAAAUACCGCUCUUUCCAUAUCUGGCGUCUAACCUCAGCACGUUAUCCGUGUUAGGGACAGUGCCUGGCGGGUAGUUUAACUGGGGCGGUUGCCUCCUAAAGAGUAACGGAGGCGCUCAAUGGUCCGCUCAGCCCGGUUGGCAAUCGGGUGUUGAGUGUAAUCGCACAAGCGGGCUUGACUGUGAGACUGACGGGUCGAGCAGGGACGAAAGUCGGAGAUAGUGAUCCGGUGCCGGCGUACGGACGUGGCAUCGCUCAACGGAUAAAAGGUACCCCGGGGAUAACAGGCUGAUCAUUCCCAAGAGUCCAUAUCGACGGGAUGGUUUGGCACCUCGAUGUCGGCUCGUCGCAUCCUGGGGCUGGAGCAGGUCCCAAGGGUUCGGCUGUUCGCCGAUUAAAGCGGCACGCGAGCUGGGUUCAGAACGUCGUGAGACAGUUUGGUCUCUAUCCUCUGCGCUCGUUGGAAUGUUGAGGAGACCUGCCCAUAGUACGAGAGGACCUGGGUGGACAAACCUCUGGUAUGCCGGUCGUCACGCCAGUGGCGCUGCCGGUUAGCUACGUUUGGAAGGGAUAACCGCUGAAAGCAUCUAAGCGGGAAGCCUGCUCCAAGAUUAGCAUUCCUUGCACUUUGUGUGUGAGCCCCCAUGUAGAACACGUGGUUGAUAGGCUGGACGUGGAAGCCCUGUAAGGGGUGGAGCUGACCAGUACUAAUGGGCGAUUGUGA